CGCAUCUAAAACCUGUCUGGAGUUCGACACCGCCGGUCUCGGGUGUUCUCUAGACUGAAAUUUGGUCAAUGUUCAGGGUUUUUCCUGCCAUAUGACUGCAUUUGUCUCUGGCCAUCAGGAACUUCUGAGACUAUCCAUCCAGAGCACAAGACAGACGCCCGGGGAGACCGGCGUCUACACAGGGAGCGACUAGCAACAACCAGAGACCAUCCCUGACCAGUCGAGACACGGACUCCAUGAGAACCCUGAAGCUUUGCUGUGGUAUUUGGCACCAAGAUGUUAACAACAAAUCCUGCAAGAUGUGAAGUGGAACAUCUGUGGAUCGGACUCCUUCGUCCAGCACAUCCCAAAGAUGCUCAAUUGGACCGAGAUCUGCAGAAUUUGGAGGCAAAGUCAACACCUCAAACUCGUUGUUGUGCUCCUCAAACUAUUGCCCAAAGCAUCACAUUGCAUAAUGCAUCCUGGUGUCAAGUGUUCCCCAGCUGGCGGUCGGGAGGACAGGUCGUCCGAAGCCAAUGCGUCGCUGUGGGUGCCGUAGGGUUUCCAUCUUGGUCAACGAUGCACUUCCAGACCUUGUGAUAUCUGGCCUUGACCUUUGCCCUUGAACGAUUCUUGAGUGUAUUUCCGCCGUUGAUGCCACUUUCUUUUCUUGCACCAGAGAGCCGAGUUAAAAGAAGAUUGUUAUGAGCAUGCCCUAAUGGAAAGCCUAAAACGGGGAGAACAGCAGCACCAAACCCCGAGCAGGCUUCAGUGACAUGACUCCAAAAUCACACGGCAAAUUGGAGCUUAGGUGGAGGGUCGCAGGUGCGCCGGAGGCUAUCCAAGCUAUCGUGGAGGGAAAGGCAGAAUACAACCUACAGUUCAUCAGUCUGUUUCAGGCUAACGUGUAGUGACAGACAACCAAUCACAAUCACAUGUACAGCCAGUUAACCUAACAUGCAUGUGUUUGGAAAGGCCCCAGCCCAGGACCUUCUUGCUGCAACAGUGCUAACCACCGCUCUACCGUUCCACACUCAGAUAUUAGGAAAUUAAAUUAUGUAAGUGCUCCAUUUUUCCUUUUGACAUUAAGUCUCCCAGUAAGUAGAUAAAGUCAGGUCAAGGCCUCAGAUUAGCUGUUCAAAAAAACACAAUGGUUACAUCCACUUUUUAUACAGUCUGUGAUUAUGACUAUUAGCUUCUGCUUCUUUGUAUAAAAUCUGCUCUGUCACUUGUUAUUUUAGCAUUUCAGCCACGCACAUUUCAAUAGAGUUAGAAUAAACC
Long non-coding RNA from Oreochromis aureus, 1260 nucleotides. RefSeq lists it as uncharacterized. NCBI's taxonomy places the organism in Eukaryota, Metazoa, Chordata, Actinopteri, Cichliformes, Cichlidae. The transcript is spliced from 6 exons. The record is from RefSeq and is a predicted model, not a curated record.